GAGUGAGGAUGAGAUUGAGAGAGAGGAUGAGAGGGAAAAGUAACAAAAGUGAAAACAAAAACUUGAAAGUGAAAACAAUUUCAAAUAGAUUUUAGUUUUUAUUUUCACUUUUGUUACUCCUUCCUCCCUCCUCCCCUCUCAUCUCCCAUC
RNAcentral lists this microRNA precursor (150 nucleotides) under Prunus dulcis (almond). RNAcentral describes it as "sRNA ncRNA". The record is from RNAcentral. Lineage: Eukaryota; Viridiplantae; Streptophyta; Magnoliopsida; Rosales; Rosaceae.